ACGCUCGACACCUACGGGAGGUAGCAGUGAGGAAUAUUGGUCAAUGGACGCAAGUCUGAACCAGCCAUGCCGCGUGCAGGAUGACGGCUCUAUGAGUUGUAAACUGCUUUUGUACGAGGGUAAACGCAGAUACGUGUAUCUGUCUGAAAGUAUCGUACGAAUAAGGAUCGGCUAACUCCGUGCCAGCAGCCACGGUAAUCUGAGCGGGCUGGCAAGGC
RNAcentral lists this ribosomal RNA (218 nucleotides) under uncultured bacterium. Its description in RNAcentral is "partial 16S ribosomal RNA". It matches the Rfam family "Bacterial small subunit ribosomal RNA", at positions 328 to 539 of the family's 1533-position model. The record is from RNAcentral.